AAGUCGUAACAAGGUUUCCGUAGGUGAACCUGCGGAAGGAUCAUUAACACGUAUCCACGUAUCAACCAACUGUGAACUUGUUUUCAACUCUCCCUGCCUUCUACAUGAAUUGAAUUUGAUAAAGUAAUGAUGAGGAAUAUGCGCAAGCAAAUUCAGCUUUAUCAAAUAACUUGACUUUCGGGUCAGACAAUUGUAGUAGUAGCGUCAGGUCAACUUUUCCAUUAACAACUUCCCUCUUCAUGAAGGAGUUAAUGGGAUAUUAUACACAUAUUUCACCCCCUUUUUGCUAGUUGACUUUUAUAUGUUGUUUUAUUCGUACUUCACUGUAUGAAUGAAUCACACGUUUAUUAAUUGAACGUUAAAUUUACAACUCUUAGCAAUGGAUAUCUUGGUUCUC
This 397-nucleotide unclassified non-coding RNA is filed under the name fungal sp. Its description in RNAcentral is "partial internal transcribed spacer region". The stretch from base 1 to 46 matches the Rfam family "Eukaryotic small subunit ribosomal RNA", at positions 1786 to 1831 of the family's 1831-position model. Lineage: Eukaryota; Fungi. The record is from RNAcentral.